RNAcentral lists this ribosomal RNA (381 nucleotides) under Triticum aestivum (bread wheat). RNAcentral's name for it is "partial small subunit ribosomal RNA". The record is from RNAcentral. Lineage: Eukaryota; Viridiplantae; Streptophyta; Magnoliopsida; Poales; Poaceae.
AUGAGGUGUUGCUUAAUGGCUUGCUUGCUCAAAGUGCUUAGUGAUAUGCUCCAAAGCCCUCAACCACUUUCUCAUAUCUACAUAUGUCCCAAACUAAAAGUCAAACUCGGCCCCACCGAUUUGAUCUAUCCGGCGCCACCGAGUUCAUUUGACAUAGCCACUGCCAAAAACCCUAAUCAAUUCGGUCUCACCGAUGGGAUCCCGGUGUCACCGAGAUGGGCUUGCAAACUCUCUGGUUCCUAUUGUAAUAAAUUCGGUCUUACCGAGUUUUGUGAUCAGUCUCACCGAGUUUGCUUGACCAACUCUCUGGUUAGCUUAUCGCCAAAAUCGGUCCUACCGAGUUUGUGUAAUCGGUCAAACCGAGAUGAGGUUUUACCCUAA